This 253-nucleotide ribosomal RNA is filed under the name uncultured bacterium. RNAcentral's name for it is "partial 16S ribosomal RNA". It matches the Rfam family "Bacterial small subunit ribosomal RNA", at positions 524 to 776 of the family's 1533-position model. The record is from RNAcentral.
UACGGAGGGUGCGAGCGUUGUUCGGAAUCACUGGGCGUAAAGCGCGUGUAGGCGGCCCGCUAAGUCUGAUGUGAAAGCCCGAGGCUCACCCUCGGAAGUGCAUUGGAAACUGGCGGACUGGAGUCCCGGAGAGGAGGGUGGAAUUCCUGGUGUAGCGGUGAAAUGCGUAGAUAUCAGGAGGAACACCGGUGGCGAAGGCGGCCCUCUGGACGGUGACUGACGCUGAGACGCGAAAGCUAGGGGAGCAAACGGG